GACGAACGCUGGCGGCGUGCUUAACACAUGCAAGUCGAACGCUGAAGACCUGGCUUUUGUUGGGUUGGAUGAGUGGCGAACGGGUGAGUAACACGUGAGUAACCUGCCCUCUUCUUUGGGAUAACGCCCGGAAACGGGUGCUAAUACUGGAUAUUCACUGAUCUUCGCAUGGGGGUUGGUGGAAAGGUUUGUUCUGGUGGGGGAUGGGCUCGCGGCCUAUCAGCUUGUUGGUGGGGUGAUGGCCUACCAAGGCUUUGACGGGUAGCCGGCCUGAGAGGGUGACCGGUCACAUUGGGACUGAGAUACGGCCCAGACUCCUACGGGAGGCAGCAGUGGGGAAUAUUGCACAAUGGGCGAAAGCCUGAUGCAGCGACGCCGCGUGAGGGAUGGAGGCCUUGGGGUUGUAAACCUCUUUCGCUCAUGGUCAAGCCGCAACUGUGGGUUGUGGUGAGGGUAGUGGGUAAAGAAGCGCCGGCUAACUACGUG
This 486-nucleotide ribosomal RNA is filed under the name uncultured bacterium. RNAcentral describes it as "partial 16S ribosomal RNA". It matches the Rfam family "Bacterial small subunit ribosomal RNA", at positions 28 to 507 of the family's 1533-position model. The record is from RNAcentral.